GACGAACGCUGGCGGCGUGCUUAACACAUGCAAGUCGAACGGUGAUGCUCCAGCUUGCUGGCGUGGAUCAGUGGCGAACGGGUGAGUAACACGUGAGCAACCUGCCCCAGACUCUGGAAUAAGCGCUGGAAACGGCGUCUAAUACUGGAUACGAAACUGGCCCGCAUGGGCAUGGUUUGGAAAGUUUUUCGGUUUGGGAUGGGCUCGCGGCCUAUCAGCUUGUUGGUGAGGUAAUGCUCACCAAGGCGACGACGGGUAGCCGGCCUGAGAGGGCGACCGGCCACACUGGGACUGAGACACGGCCCAGACUCCUACGGGAGGCAGCAGUGGGGAAUAUUGCACAAUGGGCGAAAGCCUGAUGCAGCGACGCCGCGUGAGGGAUGACGGCCUUCGGGUUGUAAACCUCUUUCAGCAGGGAAGAAGCGAAAGUGACGGUACCUGCAGAAGAAGCACCGGCUAACUACGUG
RNAcentral lists this ribosomal RNA (467 nucleotides) under uncultured bacterium. RNAcentral's name for it is "partial 16S ribosomal RNA". It matches the Rfam family "Bacterial small subunit ribosomal RNA", at positions 28 to 507 of the family's 1533-position model. The record is from RNAcentral.